This is a small nuclear RNA of Otolemur garnettii (small-eared galago), 107 nucleotides long. The record is from Ensembl. Lineage: Eukaryota; Metazoa; Chordata; Mammalia; Primates; Galagidae.
GUGCUUACUUCGACAGCACAUACAAUAAAACUGGAAUGAUACAGAGAAGAUAAGCAAAGUCCCUGAGCUAGAAGGACAGGCAAAUUCAUGGAGCAUUCUAUAUAUUA